RNAcentral lists this ribosomal RNA (495 nucleotides) under uncultured bacterium. Its description in RNAcentral is "partial 16S ribosomal RNA". It matches the Rfam family "Bacterial small subunit ribosomal RNA", at positions 28 to 507 of the family's 1533-position model. The record is from RNAcentral.
GACGAACGCUGGCGGCGUGCCUAAUACAUGCAAGUAGAACGCUGAAGGAGGAGCUUGCUUCUCUGGAUGAGUUGCGAACGGGUGAGUAACGCGUAGGUAACCUGCCUGGUAGCGGGGGAUAACUAUUGGAAACGAUAGCUAAUACCGCAUAAGAGUAGAUGUUGCAUGACAUUUGCUUAAAAGGUGCAAUUGCAUCACUACCAGAUGGACCUGCGUUGUAUUAGCUAGUUGGUGGGGUAACGGCUCACCAAGGCGACGAUACAUAGCCGACCUGAGAGGGUGGUCGGCCACACUGGGACUGAGACACGGCCCAGACUCCUACGGGAGGCAGCAGUAGGGAAUCUUCGGCAAUAGACGGAAGUCUGACCGAGCAACGCCGCGUGAGUGAAGAAGGGUUUCGGAUCGUAAAGCUCUGUUGUAAGAGAAGAACGAGUGUGAGAGUGGAAAGUUCACACUGUGACGGUAUCUUACCAGAAAGGGACGGCUAACUACGUG